GGCUGGUCCGAUUGCAGUGGAAUUUAUAAUUAAUUGAUCAGUCAGUUACAGAUUUCUUUGUUCUUUCUCCACUCCCACUGCCUCACUUUACUAGUCUUUU
This 100-nucleotide Y RNA is filed under the name Chelonia mydas (Green sea turtle). It matches the Rfam family "Y RNA". Rfam says of the family: Y RNAs are components of the Ro ribonucleoprotein particle (Ro RNP), in association with Ro60 and La proteins. The Y RNAs and Ro60 and La proteins are well conserved, but the function of the Ro RNP is not known. In humans the RNA component can be one of four small RNAs -- hY1, hY3, hY4 and hY5. Lineage: Eukaryota; Metazoa; Chordata; Testudines; Cheloniidae. The record is from Rfam by way of RNAcentral.